RNAcentral lists this ribosomal RNA (254 nucleotides) under uncultured bacterium. Its description in RNAcentral is "partial 16S ribosomal RNA". It matches the Rfam family "Bacterial small subunit ribosomal RNA", at positions 524 to 776 of the family's 1533-position model. The record is from RNAcentral.
UACGUAGGCAGCGAGCGUUGUUCGGAGUUACUGGGCGUAAAGGGUGUGUAGGCGGUUGUUUAAGUUUGGUGUGAAAUCUCCCGGCUCAACUGGGAGGGUGCGCCGAAUACUGAAUGACUUGGAGUGCGGGAGAGGAAAGUGGAAUUCCUGGUGUAGCGGUGAAAUGCGUAGAUAUCGUUCGGAACGCCAAUGGUGAAAACAGGUUGCUGGGAGUGCGCUGACGCUGAGACACGAAAGCCAGGGGAGCGAACGGG